This is a long non-coding RNA of Cydia splendana, 301 nucleotides long. RefSeq lists it as uncharacterized. NCBI's taxonomy places the organism in Eukaryota, Metazoa, Arthropoda, Insecta, Lepidoptera, Tortricidae. The record is from RefSeq and is a predicted model, not a curated record. The transcript has 3 exons.
UUUCAGCUCAAUCGGAAACCGGGAAGUGGAUCAAAUUUAACUUGCAAGAUUUGAUUACAGACAGACAGACAGACAACGUACAAAAACGAAUAAGUUUUUGGCAAAAAUUUCAUUUUUGGUACAAGCUUUUAUUGCUGACUGUACAUUUCUUUCCACAGAUAACUAAUACUCAUCGAGACAAUUCUAAAAACCCCAAGCAUAAUUAGGUUGCGUUGUUUUAUCACAGAGUUCCUAUGGCCACGUCCUGUCUCCAUCAUCAGAUCAGCUCGAUGAAUAGAAUAGAAAAACGUUUAUUGCAAAA